This 357-nucleotide long non-coding RNA is filed under the name Homo sapiens (human). Its description in RNAcentral is "novel transcript, antisense to FAM107B". The record is from RNAcentral. Lineage: Eukaryota; Metazoa; Chordata; Mammalia; Primates; Hominidae.
ACUAUUUAAGGUAAUACGCUCCUGAAUGUGCUAAAAUCAAAUACCGCAGCUGGACCAGAUUAACUCAGGACACCACCAGUGGACUAGAAUUGCAAUGACCCCACACGAUCUUACCUGCUCCUCAGACCACAGCCAAGGAAGAGAUUUCUGACAAACAAGCAAAAACACAACACUGUCCACACAACUGUAAAUAUGCAAGGAAGAGUUUCUUCUUGCCUGAAAACUGCCUUUGGACUUGGACUAGAAUUUCACCACUGGGGCUCUUGGAUCUCGAGUCUGUAGAGGGCAGAUCGUGGGAUUUUUCAGCCUCCAAAAUCAUGUGAGCCAAUUCCUCAUAAUAAAUCUCCUUCUAUAUCU